This is a long non-coding RNA of Chelonia mydas (Green sea turtle), 964 nucleotides long. RefSeq lists it as uncharacterized. The transcript is spliced from 5 exons. The record is from RefSeq and is a predicted model, not a curated record. NCBI's taxonomy places the organism in Eukaryota, Metazoa, Chordata, Testudines, Cheloniidae.
UAAAUGGAGAACGAUUAAGCCUAAGGAAGCAGACCUGGGAUGUUUAUCUACCUUCCAAGCUUCCAAAAACUGAGAGGAGGGGCUAAAAUUUAUAAACUGGUGGUUUAUAAACACGAAAUUAGGGCGAAAUCCGCGUCUCCUGAAACUUGUAACUCCACACUGUCUUCCACGGAGUUGUGACAAUUCACAGCGGCUGAGGAUCUGGCCCAAUAGACCUGAAAUCUUACUCACCCAGAGUGGAAAAUAUUGCAACAACUGAGACACAGCUCUUUCCUCUGUUUUCCCUGCGGAUACAGUACUUAUAUACCACAAUGAGGUCAAGGGCUCGAACAGAAAGAGAAGGGGUUGGACUGCAAGAGGCUCAGAGUUCAUAAGACACCAGGGGACAGAAGGGUGGGUCAUGCAGAGACAAAAUAUUAUUUUUCGAGAAGAGAAGAAUUGGGGCCACGGGAUGGCACCUUAUGAAGAGCUAAUGAAACAUGACAAAUACAGGAAGAUAUAAUAGACACACCGUGCGAUGACAGAAAGACAGCAGCUACGCUCAGAUAUACGGGAACCCUAAGAAAUGCACUCAGUUGUAAUGACCACAUAUUCAGAGACACGUCCAGCCAGAGAGACGGAGUUAUCGCCGGGCUCCUUCACAAGUGAGCAGGCUGAGGAAGGAAAUCUCUUCUCACUCACUUAGAACAGACACGAUGAAAACAGCUUCGAGAAGAGAAGAACUGGGGCCAUGGGAUGGCACCUUAUGAAGAGCGAAUGAAACAUGACAAAUACAGGAAGAUAUAACAGACACACCGCGCGAUGACAGAAAGACAGCAGCUACACUCAGGUACACGGGAACUCUAACAGAUGCAGGCAGUUAUGACCACAUAUUCAGAGACACGUCCAGCCAGAGAGACGGAGUUAUCGCCUGGAUCCAUCACAGGUGAUCAGGCUGAGGAAGGAAAUCUCACUCACUUAGAAC